AGUGAACGCUGGCGGUAGGCCUAACACAUGCAAUCGAACGGCAGCACAGUAAGAGCUUGCUCUUACGGGUGGCGAGUGGCGGACGGGUGAGGAAUACAUCGGAAUCUACUUUUUCGUGGGGGAUAACGUAGGGAAACUUACGCUAAUACCGCAUACGACCUACGGGUGAAAGCAGGGGAUCUUCGGACCUUGCGCGAUUGAAUGAGCCGAUGUCGGAUUAGCUAGUUGGCGGGGUAAAGGCCCACCAAGGCGACGAUCCGUAGCUAGUCUGAGAGGAUGAUCAGCCACACUGGAACUGAGACACGGUCCAGACUCCUACGGGAGGCAGCAGUGGGGAAUAUUGGACAAUGGGCGCAAGCCUGAUCCAGCCAUACCGCGUGGGUGAAGAAGGCCUUCGGGUUGUAAAGCCCUUUUGUUGGGAAAGAAAAGCAGCAGGUUAAUACCCCGCUGUUCUGACGGUACCCAAAGAAUAAGCACCGGCUAACUUCGUG
This 491-nucleotide ribosomal RNA is filed under the name uncultured bacterium. RNAcentral describes it as "partial 16S ribosomal RNA". It matches the Rfam family "Bacterial small subunit ribosomal RNA", at positions 29 to 507 of the family's 1533-position model. The record is from RNAcentral.